AGUGAACGCUGGCGGUAGGCCUAACACAUGCAAGUCGAACGGCAGCACAGUAAGAGCUUGCUCUUACGGGUGGCGAGUGGCGGACGGGUGAGGAAUACAUCGGAAUCUACUUUUUCGUGGGGGAUAACGUAGGGAAACUUACGCUAAUACCGCAUACGACCUACGGGUGAAAGCAGGGGAUCUUCGGACCUUGCGCGAUUGAAUGAGCCGAUGUCGGAUUAGCUAGUUGGCGGGGUAAAGGCCCACCAAGGCGAUGAUCCGUAGCUGGUCUGAGAGGAUGAUCAGCCACACUGGAACUGAGACACGGUCCAGACUCCUACGGGAGGCAGCAGUGGGGAAUAUUGGACAAUGGGCGCAAGCCUGACCCAGCCAUACCGCGUGGGUGAAGAAGGCCUUCGGGUUGUAAAGCCCUUUUGUUGGGAAAGAAAAGCAGCAGGUUAAUACCCCGCUGUUCUGACGGUACCCAAAGAAUAAGCACCGGCUAACUUCGUG
Molecule: ribosomal RNA, 492 nt
Filed under: uncultured bacterium
Lineage: Bacteria
Description: partial 16S ribosomal RNA
Rfam family: Bacterial small subunit ribosomal RNA
Source: RNAcentral